CUGUUAAACAGAUAGAAUCCGUUGAGAAACAGUCUAGUCAUGAAAGUCUGAAAGAAGACGAAGCAUCAAAGAGUCCCGACAAAAGCGAGGAGCCCAACCUUGUAAACCUGAUAGGGUCCAUGGACAAACAGUGUAAGCAUGAACCUGUGAUAGAAGAUGAGGCAUCCAGGUGUCCUAUCAAAAGCGAGGAGCCCAACCUUUGCAACCCAAAUUCUCAGGUAUCUGUGAAGGGUCCCUACAAAAGCGAGGAGCCCAACCUUGUAAACCAGAUAGAGUCCAUUGACAAACAGUGUAAGCAUGAACCUGUGAUAGAAGAUGAGGCAUUCUGGAGUCCUAUCAAAAGCGAGGAGCCCAACCCUUUCAACCCAAAUUCUCAGGUAUCUGGAAAGGUCAGCCCUAUUUCAGGGGUUCUGCUAAAGUGUGAUUCUGUUUCUAGCGAUUCUGUGUCAAUUAAU
Molecule: long non-coding RNA, 455 nt
Filed under: Amborella trichopoda
Lineage: Eukaryota; Viridiplantae; Streptophyta; Magnoliopsida; Amborellales; Amborellaceae
Description: long non-coding RNA (ATRI_LNC000197)
Source: RNAcentral